This is a long non-coding RNA of Suncus etruscus (white-toothed pygmy shrew), 248 nucleotides long. RefSeq lists it as uncharacterized. The record is from RefSeq and is a predicted model, not a curated record. NCBI's taxonomy places the organism in Eukaryota, Metazoa, Chordata, Mammalia, Eulipotyphla, Soricidae. The transcript has 2 exons.
UGCCCCGGGAUCCAGGAGCCAUGGAGGAGGAGAAACCGGGGGAAGGGACCAGCGGGAGAAAGGAGCUGUUCUCCUGAAGAGAAGCAGCCAGCAGGGAUUCCAGGACAAGGCGGGGACCCCAGUGUGCCGCUGACUGAUGGCUGUGUCCUUGGAACAGAAGGGAAUUCAACCUCCUCCUGCUGAACACUGUUGGCUAAAGACACGCUGACAAGUGGCCCAAGUUCUCCCCACGGACCCCCAACCCCACC